Long non-coding RNA from Trachemys scripta elegans, 541 nucleotides. RefSeq lists it as uncharacterized. The transcript is spliced from 2 exons. Lineage: Eukaryota; Metazoa; Chordata; Testudines; Emydidae. The record is from RefSeq and is a predicted model, not a curated record.
CCCCCCCUGUGGUGUGGUCCAUGCGCCCCCCUUUUCAGCCCACUGCACCCCCACAUCUGGGCCAUGGCCCCCCCCUCCCACUCUCAGCCUGCUGUUCUCUCCCCGCAGGUGUGGCACCACUUCCAGGCCCAGCUGGCUUCUGCAUGUGCCACCCCAGGGCCCCCCCGGGCUCCUACGGCCCGGCCCUGACCCACCGCUGGAGGGAGAUGGGAGCCCCUGCUGCCCCCCCCCCAAUAAACGCUGCCUCGGGCCUUGCUCCGCAUCCUGUCUCGCUCCUUCUCGCUGCCCCCAGGCGCCACGCGGGGGCAAUAAUUGCUAACGGACAUUUCCAGCUAAGCAAAGGAAGGGGAAUCCUACCUGAGAGCACAGUGCAGUAAGACAGCCAGUGACUUGGGAAUUAGCCUCAUUACAAAUGCACUAGCCAACGCACACUAAACGCAGACUGGAUUUGUUGAUUUAAGGACGCUGACGUUGUGUAUUUCAACAGAGGGCCUUGACCAGUUGUUUCAACUGUUUAUAAAUCUUUAACUUUUUGACUCAA